RNAcentral lists this unclassified non-coding RNA (333 nucleotides) under Dysidea cf. arenaria AG-2019. RNAcentral describes it as "sequence contains 28S rRNA gene". Lineage: Eukaryota; Metazoa; Porifera; Demospongiae; Dictyoceratida; Dysideidae. The record is from RNAcentral.
GCAGGGUGACCCAGAGCGUCCCCUGGCGUCUGCCGGAGGCAGAGCCGUACUCCUCGCGAUCACGGACCANCGGCGGUUGGAGUGGGGCCAAAAGGGUGCUCGGACGGUAUGUCGGGUCGGGUUCGCUCGCUCGACAACUUAUAGACUGGCUUCCCGGCGCUCCACUCCGACCGAGGAAGGAGGGCAGCUCUUGCCCGGUGUGGUGCACGCCGUAUGGCGGGGCCUCCCGUCGGGGGCGAGCCGUGCUGGGUGGACUGCGUGCAGUGCUCACUGUCACGGCGGACCCAAGGUCGGAGAGCGUCACUUGUGCACCAGUGCUGCUGGUAUUCGGAC